RNAcentral lists this long non-coding RNA (1023 nucleotides) under Felis catus (domestic cat). RNAcentral describes it as "lncRNA (ENSFCAG00000040542.2)". Lineage: Eukaryota; Metazoa; Chordata; Mammalia; Carnivora; Felidae. The record is from RNAcentral.
UUUGCUCUCUUCGGUCCCUUGGCUUUGAGGCUGUCUCGACAGACAUGAGGAGAAGGCUCAGUAGGUGGGAGACAGGCCAUCUGGGCCGGGACCAAAGAGCUGCACAUUCUCAGGGCAAGUCCCUUCUUCAAGGCCUGAGGUCCCCUGUUGACGUCACACCCAUGGAGGGAGAAGAAACACCAAGAAGGGGUGAGGCGGUGACGUCGCCCUGUGUUCUCGCAGGGCUGAGGAGGUCUGUGCUCUACAUUCUUCCGCGUUGGCUCAAGCCGGAGCCCCUGUGAUGCAAACCAGGACGAGGUCCGAGGGCCCUCCCUCAAGGCGCACACCGUGUGAGAAAGGGACCCACAGCUCAGGAACCAAAACAGACACACCCAGCCCAGGACCUCCCCACCAGCCAGUGACCAACAGCAGCCAGUCAACAGCUCUCCUCGAGAGGUUCCUGUGUACAUGACACCAUGCGGGAUCCAAUUUCCUGCAGACCAUGGCUUGGGGUUUACAAGGAGAAGGAGAAGGAGGAGGAGGAGGAGGAGGAGGAGGAGAAGGAGAAAACUACCCCUGCCCCCCGCCUCGCCCCCCGACCUCCCAAAGACCACCAACCACCACGGCUCACACUCUGGAAAUUUUUCUGCCGAUGCAUUGUCGGUUUUUAUUUGGUUUUCACAUUACUGUAAUCAUAACCAUGUUUACAAUCCUGCAUCCCGCUGCACUUCACAUCCCGGUGUGUGUAUUUUUCUGCACGUUAAAUUUAUCCUGGUUGCUGCGAAGGUUUGUAUUUAUAUAUAUGUUUACAUGCAAAGGCUCCCUUCACUGGUUUUCUCUUGGGAGAAAGAGGCUUCCGCUCACUGCCUUGCUCUAAGGUCUAAACUCCCAGAAGCUUUGAGGCACCUGCUGGGCAGAGGGAAGAUUUCGGGCGAUGGCAGUUCUCACCCGGAGGGGCUGGGGCCGGCAGGUCAGUUACUCCGGGCCGGGGACAGUUGUCAAGAUGAAGAGGACAGGAAGGCAAAUCUGGGCCAAGGCAUGUAA